AAUAAGAUGGCUGAGGUGUAGGCGGUAGAUUGUAAAUCUAUUAACAAGGCAAAAAUCCUUUCUUAUUA
This 68-nucleotide transfer RNA is filed under the name Tetraloides nigrifrons. RNAcentral describes it as "tRNA-Tyr". It matches the Rfam family "tRNA". Rfam says of the family: Transfer RNA (tRNA) molecules are approximately 80 nucleotides in length. Their secondary structure includes four short double-helical elements and three loops (D, anti-codon, and T loops). Lineage: Eukaryota; Metazoa; Arthropoda; Malacostraca; Decapoda; Tetraliidae. The record is from RNAcentral.